AUGUGUGAGAUCAACGUGGAUGGUGCGGUAUGCAAUUGCCCUCCCAUUGGUGGUGUGGGCGUCGUAUGCCGUGAUGAGCAAGGUUUGUAAUUAUGAUCGUCAGCGGUAGUGUUCCAUGGUCUAACUGACCCAAAUAUUCUGGAAACCUUGGCGUGCCGAGAGGUCCUAUCCUUGGGCAGGGACUUGCUACUUCAGAACAUCACUGUGGCAUCAGACUGCCUCUUAGCGGUGAAGGAUAUCAACUCAGGAACGUGUGGCAUCACCGCCCCAAUCAUCAGAGAAAUUAAAGACGGGUGCAAUGAGUUUCAACUUAUCUCUUUUGUUCAUGAAGGACGACUCUCUAAUAUGGAGGCUCAUAGUUUAGCUUAG
RNAcentral lists this ribosomal RNA (369 nucleotides) under Triticum aestivum (bread wheat). RNAcentral describes it as "partial small subunit ribosomal RNA". The record is from RNAcentral. Lineage: Eukaryota; Viridiplantae; Streptophyta; Magnoliopsida; Poales; Poaceae.